This 244-nucleotide non-coding RNA is filed under the name Lachnospiraceae bacterium. Its description in RNAcentral is "T-box sequence". It matches the Rfam family "T-box leader". Rfam says of the family: Uncharged tRNA acts as the effector for transcription antitermination of genes in the T-box leader family. T-boxes are found upstream of many aminoacyl-tRNA synthetase genes and some amino acid biosynthetic genes usually in Gram-positive bacteria. The record is from RNAcentral. Lineage: Bacteria; Bacillati; Bacillota; Clostridia; Lachnospirales; Lachnospiraceae.
UCAAAGGCAGUGACAAGAAACAGUACGUAUUUUGGAUUUUACAGAGAGAAGGCGGCAGGUGCGAGCCUUUAUUGAAAAAAUACCGAACCCCUCUUCGAGCCGUGAGCCGAACCGUUUUUACGCAGUAAGCAUCACCGGGUUCUCCCGUAACAGAGAAAGGUAUCGGGAUUUAUCCCCUGUACCGUGAGCGCGGAAUUUUUCCGAAUUUAGGUGGUACCACGGACCUGACCGGUUCGCCCUAAGC